This 432-nucleotide ribosomal RNA is filed under the name uncultured bacterium. RNAcentral describes it as "partial 16S ribosomal RNA". It matches the Rfam family "Bacterial small subunit ribosomal RNA", at positions 29 to 507 of the family's 1533-position model. The record is from RNAcentral.
AACGAACGCUGGCGGCAUGCCUAACACAUGCAAGUCGAACGAGACCUUCGGGUCUAGUGGCGCACGGGUGCGUAACGCGUGGGAACCUGCCCUUAGGUUCGGAAUAACUCCCCGAAAGGGGUGCUAAUACCGGAUAAUGUCUUCGGACCAAAGAUUUAUCGCCUUUGGAUGGGCCCGCGUUGGAUUAGCUAGUUGGUAGGGUAAAAGCCUACCAAGGCGACGAUCCAUAGCUGGUCUGAGAGGAUGAUCAGCCACACUGGGACUGAGACACGGCCCAGACCCCACCGGAGGGAGGAGGUGGGAAUUAUUGGCCAUUGGCCAAAGGCUGAAUCCGCCAUGGCCGCUGAAGUAUUAAGGGCUUUGGGUUGGAAAAGCUCUUUUACCCGGAAUAUUAAGAACGUAACCGGAGGAAUAGGCCCCGCCAACCUCGUU